Molecule: non-coding RNA, 1009 nt
Organism: Centropristis striata (black sea bass)
Lineage: Eukaryota; Metazoa; Chordata; Actinopteri; Perciformes; Serranidae
Source: the annotation of a RefSeq genome assembly
CAAUUUUUGCAGUUUUAUCAUAAAAACAGAGUGUUUUCAGAGGAUAGAUGUUUGUUCACAGUGCAGGAGGUUUUUGUACGGCCGCUUAAUGAGUUUGUAUCACUGUGGUACACUUUUGGUGGAGGAACCAAACUCAUCGUUGACUUGGGUGUGGUGCGGCCCACCCUGAGCGUCCUCCCCCCCUCCAGAGAGCAGCUGCAGCAGGGCAGUGCCACACUGGUGUGUCUGGCCAGCGGGGGCUUCCCCUCAGCCUGGAGGCUGGGCUGGAAGGUGGGGGGCAGCAGCCUCUCCUCAGGGGAGUCACACAGCCUGGAGGCCCUGGGGAGGGACGGCCACUACAGCUGGAGCAGCACCCUGAUCCUCCCUGCAGACCAGUGGAGGAAGGCGGGCUCAGUGAGCUGUGAGGCCAGUCUGAAUGGACAGAGCCCUGUCACUCAAAGCCUGGACCCUGAGCGCUGCUCAGAGUAGAGCUUCAGCAACACUUCCUGUCUGGAAAUGAUGCUGCUUCUUUCAUAGAGAUCUUCAUCAAGCUACAGAUCUCCUCUCUUCACAUAUUUCUGCACGUUUCACAGCUCUCUGCUCAGUGUUUUAGUGUGCAUGUUGCUUUCUCAUACUGAUCUUCUGCAUGUUCUUCUUUAUCAUCAUUAAAAUCAACUUUAUUAGUUUUAGUCCAAGAGAAACGAUUCAUUCAUCAGAAAUGUGGCAUGAACAUUAAACUCUCACUGAAUAAAACUGUGGAUUAUAAUGAGUCAGUGUCUUUGUGUUUUGUAAAAGGUGUAAGGUUCACCCUGCUGGCAAAUGGAUCAACACUGAACACAAUAUUUUGUAUCCUGAUGAUCUGGAUCCAGGCGUUACAUUUAUUAAGAUGACAGAACAACAGACAUAAGGGAGCAGCAGACAUGAAGCCAUCUAACCUCAGUGUGUUAUCUUAAUGCUCUGGUCUUCUAUGUUCCUAAUAACAUAAAUAUAUAUCAGGAUAUACUAUAGAUUUUGCCUACAUGUUGGAGUU